GCUCUAAUAGCUUAGUGGUAAAGUAGUGAUCUGAAGAAUCAUUGACAGAGGUUCAAUUCCUUUUUAGAGCA
This is a non-coding RNA of Tulasnella sp. 419, 71 nucleotides long. The record is from the annotation of a GenBank genome assembly. NCBI's taxonomy places the organism in Eukaryota, Fungi, Basidiomycota, Agaricomycetes, Cantharellales, Tulasnellaceae.